AUUGAACGCUGGCGGCAUGCUUUAUACAUGCAAGUCGUGCGGCAGCGCGGGGGCAACUCUGGCGGCGAGCGGCGAACAGGUGAGUAAUACAUAGGAACGUAUCCUGAAAUGGGGGAUAGCUCGGCGAAAGCCGGAUUAAUACCGCAUACGCUCCACGGAGGAAAGCAGGGGAUCGCAAGACCUUGCGUUUCUGGAGCGGCCUAUGUCUGAUUAGCUAGUUGGCGGGGUAAUAGCCCACCAAGGCGACGAUCAGUAGCUGGUCUGAGAGGAUGAUCAGCCACACUGGGACUGAGACACGGCCCAGACCCCUACGGAGGCAGCAGUAGGGAA
This 330-nucleotide ribosomal RNA is filed under the name uncultured bacterium. Its description in RNAcentral is "bacterial SSU rRNA". It matches the Rfam family "Bacterial small subunit ribosomal RNA", at positions 30 to 361 of the family's 1533-position model. The record is from RNAcentral.